RNAcentral lists this long non-coding RNA (443 nucleotides) under Androctonus crassicauda. The record is from RNAcentral. Lineage: Eukaryota; Metazoa; Arthropoda; Arachnida; Scorpiones; Buthidae.
GUCUGGAGUUCCAAAUGGGCAGGUCACAAGAAGCUCACCAUGCCAUUCUACAUCCGGAGGAGGACUGCGUGGUGGAGUUUGCAUAGCAAAGCCAUUGGAAAGGGAAAAUUGACAACAGAGGGUAAGGUUGGGCAGAGAGAGGGGGAAGGUCCUUCUCACUGUUUGCCCCAAGCCCUCAGUGGAACUGUGAAUGAAAGUUGGAGGAGUCUGGUGAAAUCGGAAUGAUGGAACUCCCUGCUCAGAUCCGAUGGCAGCACCGAGAAAAGCAGCCAGUGUGGGGUGUGGUCAGUGAAAGGGCUACAGACUGGUGGCCAACUGCUUUGAAGGACUUAGGCCAUUGACUGAUGACUUCUAAGGAGAAAGAUUUUUCCACCAGAGCUGAAUCUAGCAACAAUUGGCACCACUGGGUGUCUGUUCUCUGAGGCCAUUUUGCCAUCUCCAGC